RNAcentral lists this ribosomal RNA (366 nucleotides) under uncultured bacterium. Its description in RNAcentral is "bacterial SSU rRNA". It matches the Rfam family "Bacterial small subunit ribosomal RNA", at positions 28 to 394 of the family's 1533-position model. The record is from RNAcentral.
GAUGAACGCUAGCGGCAGGCCUAAUACAUGCAAGUCGGACGGGAUUCCCGAUUUAUCGGGAUGAGAGUGGCGCACGGGUGCGUAACACGUAUGUAACCUACCCUUGUCAGGGGGGAUAGCCUCUCGAAAGAGAGAUUAAGCCCGCAUAACAUUAUGAUAUAGCAUUAUAUUAUAAUCAAAUAUUUAUAGGACGAGGAUGGGCAUGCGGAACAUUAGCUAGNGGUAAGGUAACGGCUUACCAAGGCGACGAUGUUUAGGGGAUCUGAGAGGAUGACCCCCCACACUGGUACUGAGACACGGACCAGACUCCUACGGGAGGCAGCAGGUAAGGAAUAUUGGUCAAUGGGCGCAAGCCUGAACCAGCCA